RNAcentral lists this ribosomal RNA (465 nucleotides) under uncultured bacterium. RNAcentral describes it as "partial 16S ribosomal RNA". It matches the Rfam family "Bacterial small subunit ribosomal RNA", at positions 28 to 507 of the family's 1533-position model. The record is from RNAcentral.
GACGAACGCUGGCGGCGUGCUUAACACAUGCAAGUCGUACGGUAAGGCCCUUUAGGGGGUACACGAGUGGCGAACGGGUGAGUAACACGUGAGUAACCUGCCCACAACUUUGGGAUAACGCUAGGAAACUGGUGCUAAUACUGGAUAUGUGCUCCUGCUGCAUGGUGGGGGUUGGAAAGCUCCGGCGGUUGUGGAUGGACUCGCGGCCUAUCAGCUUGUUGGUGGGGUAGUGGCCUACCAAGGCGGCGACGGGUAGCCGGCCUGAGAGGGUGACCGGCCACAGUGGGACUGAGAUACGGCCCAGACUCCGACGGGAGGCAGCAGUGGGGAAUAUUGCACAAUGGGCGCAAGCCUGAUGCAGCAACGCCGCGGGCGGGAUGACGGCCUUCGGGUUGUAAACCGCUUUCAGCAGGGACGAAGCUUUUUGUGACGGUACCUGCAGAAGAAGCACCGGCUAACUACGUG